AUGAAGAGAGACAGAGUGAGCAGAGACACUACCGCGUGGAAAGGGAACGGCAGAGAAGAGACAGCUCUAGAGACCGGAGAGAGCCAAUACACAGGAGCAUCCAGAGAGCAGACAGAAAGAUUGGAGAUUCACACAGGGGCAGAGCCAUCCAGAAACCAGCCACAGCAGAGUCAGCCACAGACACUGAGAGGGACCCAGGCCCAGGGAGAAACUCAAAAGCCAUGUACCCCGAGCCAAAGACACACUGACCCAGGGCCAGGGCUGAGAAUAUACCCGAAGUGUAUCAGUACACUGAUGGAGGCAGAGAAGGAUGUCCUUGUUAUUUUCUUUAAGUACAAAGAACCUAUUCCGGUGCAGGCCGACUCCUUUAACACAGCAGGUUUCCGCUGCUGCUGCCGUUGCCUGGGUCAUUCCUGCAAUUUCUCUUUGGGGAUCACCUUUAGAGCUUGCAGUACAGCUCUGAGCAACUGCACCUGAGGCAAGUUUGUAUCCUUUAGGGGUAGAUCUAAUUUAUGAAAACAGCUAAGUGUUAGGAAUCAAGGCUGGAGAAUCAGGUGAUUCCCCAGCUGGGGAGCAGUAUUUCCAGUUAAAAGGAAGGUGGAAAUGGAAAGACACAGAGGUGUGCCCUCCCCCAAAGUGGCUCUGAAAGGCCACCCUGAAGGGGAACCUUACAGGAUAUGACAGAAGGAGAUCGUCUAGUGGCGGCUUGAGGGCCAAUUUCAUUUUUGCGUCUGUCAAAACUGGGCAGUCGUGCUCCUAGGAGCGUUUGCAGCCUGGCACUGGAGGGAUGAGGCCUGGCAUCUGACGGAAAUAUUUGGUCACAGUGGUCCUGCCCUUGAGGAUCUUACAGUUCUCCUCCCUGCCAACAUUAUGUUUACAGGUACAAAGUUACCCCUCUGACAUUCACCACAGCAAAGAUCAACAAGUGCAAGUGACUAGGGCAAAUUCAGAAUCCAAGCCAGUUAGUUCAUCAGGGAAGGCUGCUGGGAGGAGGGGCGUGGAAAGAGAAACCCAACAGGGGAUGGACUAGAUUAGGAGAAGAGCAGCAGUGCCUCUGGCUAAUGGUGCUGAGGCAGGUAAGCAAACCCGAAGUGAGGCUGGGGACAGCUUUGCUGGCCUGGAGUGAGGAGCUGGAUUCAGGAACCAGCCCGAAGGGGAAAGGAAGGGGGCAGGUUUUGAAGGCAGGCUGCGUGAUCUGAAUUUGCUAUGAGAGAAACUGGGGCCCACUGAGGAUGCACUGGCAUGUCAGGUAGAGGGUGUGAGUGCGUGUGUGUGCACACUUGUCUGGGUAGGUGUGUACUCAAGUUUGCAUGUGUUUUCUGUGUGUGUGUGUAGCGCAUGUACAUCCAGGUGGCUUUGCACCCCAGGCCCUUGUCUUCCCAUCUGUGUCUGACUGGCAUGUGGCUCUGCCUGAGUGCGUUUGUUCAUUUGUGUGUUUCCAUGUGAUCAUGUGCGCGGGUAGCUCAGUUGCUUUUUGUGUAUUUUAUUUGGCUACGUGCGGCGAAGGGCAGCGUCUGUGUUUUGCGUGUGUGUGUGUGUGUGCUUGUGUCUGCAGGAGGAGUGGGGCCGGUAGGGAGCUCUGGCUACCCAAGCAUUGCCGUCUGUCUCUCUCCCUCCACUGGCUCCAUCUGCCCUCGCUGAGGUCGUGACAAGGAGGAAAACAGCAAAACAGCAAACAGCUACGGUGGGAGAAACAAGAACAUUGUACGCCCCGCGCAGAUUCCCCCUGCGGGGGACAGACGGACCGACGGGGACACACACACACACACACACACACACACACACACCCUCCGGCGCACACAGGCUGCUCUGCAGACACGCUUCACGGAGCAGGUGCCCCCACUCGCAAUACCCUCCUGGCCCACAGGUCUCCGCACGCACAGGACACAGACACUCGCUGCUGACCUCCCUCCCGCCGCCCCUCCUCUGAGCCCUGCUGCGCGGCCUUCCGCACCUCCCAGCGCCUGCAUGGGUUGGGGGAGCUGGGGCUGGGGGCGCUCAUUCGGACCUCGGAGCCAAUCGCCAGAUACCUAAUGGCUCCUUUGGCCAUGGAAGAGGGUGUGCGUGGGUGUCCUCUCCUUUACUCCUUCCCCAGCCCGGUCGCCUCCCACCCCUCUUCCGGCCCGCGGCAGUUUCCGAAAUCGCCCGGCGGCGGAGAAUUCAUUAGCGGGGGGCGGAUGUAAACGCAGCGCGGUGGAACGUUUUAAUUAGGCCUGAACAAUAAACAAGCUAAACGAGGCGCGCAGGGCUCCCUGGCGGGCCCUCAGCCUCCUCCGCGCGGCGCGGACUCAUUACGGCUGCAGCCAAUUUCAUGCCAGCGCUGAGCACGGGCUGGGCCGGGAGUGGG
RNAcentral lists this long non-coding RNA (2347 nucleotides) under Callithrix jacchus (white-tufted-ear marmoset). Its description in RNAcentral is "lncRNA (ENSCJAG00000077614.1)". Lineage: Eukaryota; Metazoa; Chordata; Mammalia; Primates; Cebidae. The record is from RNAcentral.